RNAcentral lists this long non-coding RNA (112 nucleotides) under Cebus imitator (Panamanian white-faced capuchin). Its description in RNAcentral is "Deleted in lymphocytic leukemia 2 conserved region 6 (ENSCCAG00000010851.1)". It matches the Rfam family "Deleted in lymphocytic leukemia 2 conserved region 6". The record is from RNAcentral. Lineage: Eukaryota; Metazoa; Chordata; Mammalia; Primates; Cebidae.
GGGCUCUGUGGACUAGAGAUAUUUCUCGUUAUUUUUCAAUGAGUUCUUAAGGGUCUCAGCCUCUAAGGCAGGUUAUCAUGACUAUCCCUCUGAGUUGAUGAGAUCAGGCAUC